Molecule: ribosomal RNA, 492 nt
Filed under: uncultured bacterium
Lineage: Bacteria
Description: partial 16S ribosomal RNA
Rfam family: Bacterial small subunit ribosomal RNA
Source: RNAcentral
AGCGAACGCUGGCGGUAGGCCUAACACAUGCAAGUCGAACGGCAGCACAGUAAGAGCUUGCUCUUACGGGUGGCGAGUGGCGGACGGGUGAGGAAUACAUCGGAAUCUACUUUUUCGUGGGGGAUAACGAAGGGAAACUUACGCUAAUACCGCAUACGACCUACGGGUGAAAGCAGGGGAUCUUCGGACCUUGCGCGAUUGAAUGAGCCGAUGUCGGAUUAGCUAGUUGGCGGGGUAAAGGCCCACCAAGGCGACGAUCCGUAGCUGGUCUGAGAGGAUGAUCAGCCACACGGGAACGGAGACACGGUCCAGACUCCUACGGGAGGCAGCAGUGGGGAAUAUUGGGCAAUGGGGGCAAGCCUGAUCCAGCCAUAGCGCGUGGGUGAAGAAGGCCUUCGGGUUGUAAAGACCUUUUGUUGGGAAAGAAAAGCAGCAGGUUAAUACCCCGCUGUUCUGACGGUACCCAAAGAAGAAGCACCGGCUAACUUCGUG